RNAcentral lists this ribosomal RNA (468 nucleotides) under uncultured bacterium. RNAcentral describes it as "partial 16S ribosomal RNA". It matches the Rfam family "Bacterial small subunit ribosomal RNA", at positions 28 to 507 of the family's 1533-position model. The record is from RNAcentral.
GACGAACGCUGGCGGCGUGCUUAACACAUGCAAGUCGAACGGCAAGGCCCUGCUUUUGUGGUGUUCUCGAUUGGCGAUCGGGUGAGUAACACGUGAGUAACCUGCCCUUGACUUUGGUAUAGCUUCAGGAAGCUGGGGCUAAUACCGUAUAGGAUCUCCUGCUGCAGUGUGGGGGUUGGAUAUUUUCGGCUGGUGGGGCUGGAUUCGCGGCUUAACGGCUUGUUGGUGGGGUGGUGGCUUACCCAGGCUUUGACUGGUCGCCCGCAGGAGUGGGUGAACGGCCACAUUGGGACUGAGAGACGGACCAGACUCCUACGGGAGGCAGCAGUGGGGAAUAUUACCCAAUCGGAGCACGCGGGAUGAAGAGACGCCGCGGGCGGGAUGACGGCCUUCGGGUUGUAAACAGCUUCAGCCUGUGACGCAGCGGGAGUGACGGUAAUGAGUAAAGAAGCACCGGCUAACUACGUG